Molecule: long non-coding RNA, 359 nt
Filed under: Androctonus crassicauda
Lineage: Eukaryota; Metazoa; Arthropoda; Arachnida; Scorpiones; Buthidae
Source: RNAcentral
GUAGAACCUAACCCUAUACUUCACUGUAAAUAUGGGUUCAUUUUACGCGAUUCGAUUUGCGCCGGCUUUUGUAGGAACGGAACUGCCGCGUAAACCGAGGGCUACCUGUAUUGGAUGAUGAAAGAUACUAUCCCUAGAGAUGCAACCGAUAUUUCGAUUUUUUUGUCCUUAAUACAUUUUGUCCAUAUACAUUUAUUUUUUGUCCUGUAUAUAGAUUUUUCUUCUAUUGAUAUUAUCAAGUAUCGACCGAAAGCAGACCAAUUUAAUACAUUGGCAAAGAAUUAUUUUUCGAUCACAUACAUGUAUAUAUAUAAAAGAUAUUAAAGAGAAAAUAACAAUCUUCUAAUUUAAGUAUUAAC